Molecule: ribosomal RNA, 459 nt
Filed under: uncultured bacterium
Lineage: Bacteria
Description: bacterial SSU rRNA
Rfam family: Bacterial small subunit ribosomal RNA
Source: RNAcentral
UGGGGAAUAUUGGACAAUGGGCGAAAGCCUGAUCCAGCCAUGCCGCGUGUGUGAAGAAGGUCUUCGGAUUGUAAAGCACUUUAAGUUGGGAGGAAGGGUUGUAGAUUAAUACUCUGCAAUUUUGACGUUACCGACAGAAUAAGCACCGGCUAACUCUGUGCCAGCAGCCGCGGUAAUACAGAGGGUGCAAGCGUUAAUCGGAAUUACUGGGCGUAAAGCGCGCGUAGGUGGUUAGUUAAGUUGGAUGUGAAAUCCCCGGGCUCAACCUGGGAACUGCAUUCAAAACUGACUGACUAGAGUAUGGUAGAGGGUGGUGGAAUUUCCUGUGUAGCGGUGAAAUGCGUAGAUAUAGGAAGGAACACCAGUGGCGAAGGCGACCACCUGGACUGAUACUGACACUGAGGUGCGAAAGCGUGGGGAGCAAACAGGAUUAGAUACCCCAGUAGUCCCUGAGCGGGC